Long non-coding RNA from Gadus morhua (Atlantic cod), 409 nucleotides. RefSeq lists it as uncharacterized. NCBI's taxonomy places the organism in Eukaryota, Metazoa, Chordata, Actinopteri, Gadiformes, Gadidae. The record is from RefSeq and is a predicted model, not a curated record. The transcript is spliced from 3 exons.
UACCUGUCUGACGAAGCUGGUGGUGGUGGUGUCAGAGGAGCUGCUCCCGUCCGAACCCUUACACCUCCCUCUCCUGUGACCCCCGCGAACCUGCGGCUUCACAGAAAGAAGAACAACACCGUUGGGCACUUGGUUGAAGGAGAGCUGGUGUUCGUACAGGGCCAGGAGGAGCAGGCAGCCCCAGCCCAACAGGAGUCCUGCGUUCUGCAUGAGGAACUGGAGCCCUGGGCGCUCGCUCCUUGCCCGGUUCAUCUCAGGAAGCUGGGGAGGAGAUCCAAAAUGGCGGCUGCUGCUCACCAUCUCCACCAGCGAGAGGUAGAGGAAGAUGCCGGCGGUGACGCUGAAGAUCCAAUGCUGCACCGUGGUCUCCGUGGAGACGAACAGGCCGAUGUAGAGGCCCAGGAAGGCA